Molecule: ribosomal RNA, 253 nt
Filed under: uncultured bacterium
Lineage: Bacteria
Description: partial 16S ribosomal RNA
Rfam family: Bacterial small subunit ribosomal RNA
Source: RNAcentral
UACAGAGGUCCCAAGCGUUGUUCGGAUACACUGGGCGUAAAGGGUGCGUAGGUGGCCAGGUAAGUUCGGUGUGAAAGCUCGGAGCUUAACUCCGAAAUGUCAUUGAAUACUAUCUGGCUUGAGGGUCGGAGGGGAGACUGGAAUUCUCGGUGUAGCAGUGAAAUGCGUAGAUAUCGAGAGGAACACCAGUGGCGAAGGCGAGUCUCUGGACGACUCCUGACACUGAGGCACGAAAGCUAGGGGAGCAAACAGG